Pecten maximus is the source of this 2903-nucleotide long non-coding RNA. RefSeq lists it as uncharacterized. The transcript has 2 exons. The record is from RefSeq and is a predicted model, not a curated record. Lineage: Eukaryota; Metazoa; Mollusca; Bivalvia; Pectinida; Pectinidae.
UUGACCAAUGGAAAUACGUCAGGGGAUAGCGCCACCUGCAUUCAUUUUCAAGCAGCGUGAUUAUUUGUAGCAGCAGUGUUUUAUUCAUCAUUAUUUUCUCCUAUUGUUUACUUUCGUCGCAACAACUCCUAUUGACUUUUGAACUUACGAGUGUUUUGCCUGGAGUUGUCGUCUCCUACGACAGUGAAGUACACACCAAUAACGGUAUUUACACGUGUGUUGUGUUUGUUUACAUUUUUAUCGACGUGUGUCGAGGACAUUUCCUUUAGUUUACAUUGACGAAUGUCAUUCGUCAUCGAGCUGUGUAUUUCCUAUUUGGAUCCUAACAGUCUUUAUGCAACCACAAUGUGUUUUCUUUGCUAUCGGGAUCUAACUUUGUGUGUGACUUAUUCGUGCUAGUGGAAAUCGAAAGACAUCAGUUUGUAAACCGUCUCGGGUCAUCUAACAUGGCGGCCAAGCAGGUCAGGAACGCGUCACUACCAGCAGCUUGGUGCGCGAUCCCAGGAUUCCGUGCGGGAUUCAAGAUGGCAGCGCCCAUGUCUUGUCGAACACUGUAGGGCAUUGCAUCGUCUUCUUUGGCGUUUACGGUUAAUUUUGUAGGGGUAAUUAUCUGAUUUAAGGAAAAAUAAUUAAGGAACUACACGUACAACAUUAUUAGUCUAGAUUUCCAUCUCGCGAUAUUACGACAUGCAGUGUACUCGGAACUAACCGAACAACUUAACUAGUCGGAAUUUCAAUCUCCCGACGAUUACGACAUGCAGACUCCUCGGAUAAUCAACGAACAACUUUGAUAACUACAUACAGACGACUCGGAAACUCACCGAACUACAUUAUGCGUUUCCAUCUCCCGAUGAUAGCGACAUGCAGAUAAAGUGGAAAUCGUAGCAUCAGCUUACUAUGCUUCCAACUCAGUUGUCUUGGACUUUUCAGCGGUGAGAGUACUCAUCAAUCUGUCUAUUUUGACUUGUUGUACCUGACCAGACUUUGGUUACAGCGUGGAUAUCAGAGGAGCAUUCUCGAUACUUGUUACUCUAGUAAACAUUUAUAUCUUCGCGUUCACACCUUCUAUCUGUAUCUAGCGUUACUGUUUUCUAUGUACUUGUCACAGAUAUUUCUAAAUAAUUGGUUUACGGCAUAGCUGUCACACCUUUUAUCUGUAUCUAGCAUUAUUGUUUUCCUUGUACUUGUCACAGAUUCUUGUUUAUACUUGUGCGGAAUAUAUUAUGCAACUGUUAAGGAGAGCUUUGUCAUAGAUAUAUAUAGAGAUGAUGUUUCUUCCUCACUUUAUUUAGUCUGUUACUAGAUUGUUAUUAUCAUGUACUAGGUUUAAUUAGUUAUCAGUCAGAUCAAGCCUCUUCUAUUACGAGUCAAGUCACUCAUCUCAUGAGUAAUCACAACUUAAAGUCUAGGAUCUUCUCAGCAGCCAUAAGAAGUGAAGUUUUUCCUUACAAUAGCCACCAACCUAUGCCAUGUUUUAUUUGUUUAUUUUGUGGGUAAUCAGGUCAUGUCUUCAACCACAAUCAAGUCACUCUUCUCUUGAGUUGUCAUAACUCGAAGUCAAGGGUCUUCUCAGCUGUGUCUGCGAGUCAAGUUUCUUCUCACGAGUCACUGAGACUCAGAGCCAAGGGUCUUCUCAGUAGCACUUAGGAGUCAAGUUUGUCAUGCCACCAGCUACUACUUCGCUGUGUUUUGAUUCGUUAGUUUAUGCAGUCAUGUCAUCGCUUCUCCAAUCAUGAGUCAAAACUCUUCUCAUGAGUAAUCACAACUCAAGAGUCAAGGGUUUUCUCAGCUGUGUCUGCGAGUCAAGUCUCUUCUCAUGAGUCACUGCGACUCAAAGUAUGUAGUCUUCUCAGUAGCACUUAGUCAAGAGUGUCCCGCACUAGCUACCUACUACUUCGCUGUGUUUUGAUUCGUUAGCUUACGUAGUCAGGUCUUUGCUUCUCCAAUCAUGAGUCAAAACUCUUCUCAUGAGUAAUCACACUCAGAGUCAAAACUCUUCUCAGCUGUGUCUGCGAGUCAAGUCUCUUCUCACGAGUCACUGAGACUCAGAGCCAAGGGUCUUCUCAGUAGCACUUAGGAGUCAAGUUUGUCAUGCCACCAGCUACUACUUCGCUGUGUUUUGAUUCGUUAGUUUAUGCAGUCAUGUCAUCGCUUCUCCAAUCAUGAGUCAAAACUCUUCUCAUGAGUAAUCACAACUCAAGAGUCAAGGGUCUUCUCAGCUGUGUCUGCGAGUCAAGUCUCUUCUCAUGAGUCACUGCGACUCUGAGCCAAGGGUAUUCUCAGUAGCACAUAGGAGUCAAGUUUGUCACUACAGGGGUACUAGAGUCAAGUCGCUUCUCUAUGGCUCAGUAGGGUCAAGCUUCUUCUCUAGUAGGACCUUUCAGUAUGAAUGAUUUAGAGUCAAGUUGCUUCUCUGCUGUCAAGUAGAGUCAAGCUUCUUCUCUAAGUCAAGCAUUUUAGAGUCAAGUUGCUUCUCUGCUGUCAAGUAGAGUCAAGCUUCUUCUCUAAGUCAGGCAUUUUAGAGUCAAGUUGCUUCUCUGCGGUUCAGUAGAGUCAAGCUCCUUCUAUAAGUUUCGAGUACUCCAUUUUCUUUCUUCACCGUGAAAUACCUGGAGUCAAGUUGCUUCUCUGGAGUUCAUCGAUAUCAGAGCCAAGUUUCUUCUCUGGGUGUUUCUCCAAAUACUCAAGUCUUGUUAAUUUAAGUUAGCUGUUUAAGCCCUGUACACCAUUCAGUAUCCUUAUUGUAUUUCUGCUGUUCAGUAGAGUCAAGCCCCUUCUUUAGUUUUGAGUACUCAAUUUCUUUCUUCACUGUGAAAUACCUGGAGUCAAGCUGCUUCUCUGGAGUCCGACAGAGUCAAGUCUCUUCUCUGGGUGUUUCUCGGAAUACUCACAUCUUGUUUAUU